AGUGAACGCUGGCGGUAGGCCUAACACAUGCAAGUCGAACGGCAGCACAGUAAGAGCUUGCUCUUACGGGUGGCGAGUGGCGGACGGGUGAGGAAUACAUCGGAAUCUACUUUUUCGUGGGGGAUAACGUAGGGAAACUUACGCUAAUACCGCAUACGACCUACGGGUGAAAGCAGGGGAUCUUCGGACCUUGCGCGAUUGAAUGAGCCGAUGUCGGAUUAGCUAGUUGGCGGGGUAAAGGCCCACCAAGGCGACGAUCCGUAGCUGGUCUGAGAGGAUGAUGAGCCACACUGGAACUGAGCCACGGUCCAGACUCCUACGGGAGGCAGCAGUGGGGAAUAUUGGACAAUGGGCGCAAGCUUGAUCCAGCCAUACCGCGUGGGUGAAGAAGGCCUUCGGGUUGUAAAGCCCUUUUGUUGGGAAAGAAAAGCAGCAGGUUAAUACCCCGCUGUUCUGACGGUACCCAAAGAAUAAGCACCGGCUAACUUCGUG
RNAcentral lists this ribosomal RNA (492 nucleotides) under uncultured bacterium. RNAcentral describes it as "partial 16S ribosomal RNA". It matches the Rfam family "Bacterial small subunit ribosomal RNA", at positions 29 to 507 of the family's 1533-position model. The record is from RNAcentral.